AACGCACGCUAGGGUUACCGCGGCUGCUGGCACGGAGUUAGCCGGUGCUUCUUCUGCGAGUAACGUCACAGCUAGCAGGUAUUAACUACUAACCUUUCCUCCUCGCUGAAAGUGCUUUACAACCCGAAGGCCUUCUUCACACACGCGGCAUGGCUGCAUCAGGGUUUCCCCCAUUGUGCAAUAUUCCCCACUGCUGCCUCCCGUAGGAGUCUGGGCCGUGUCUCAGUCCCAGUGUGGCUGAUCAUCCUCUCAGACCAGCUAGGGAUCGUUGCCUAGGUGAGCCAUUACCUCACCUACUAGCUAAUCCCACCUGGGCUUAUCCAUCAGCGCAAGGACCGAAGUUCCCCUGCUUUCCCCCGUAGGGCGUAUGCGGUAUUAGCAGUCGUUUCCAACUGUUAUCCCCCACAAAUGGGCAAAUUCCCAGGCAUUACUCACCCGUCCGCCGCUCGUCAUCUUCAAAAGCAAGCUUUUGAAAUGUUACCGCUCGACUUGCAUGUGUUAGGCCUGCCGCCAGCGUUCAAU
RNAcentral lists this ribosomal RNA (522 nucleotides) under uncultured bacterium. RNAcentral's name for it is "partial 16S ribosomal RNA". The record is from RNAcentral.